AAAAUGGUGCGCGAACACUUGUAAGAUAAAUAUGGAUCUUGGAGGACAAGAGACUCACAUUUUUGGAGUCUUCCAAAAACCAGAAGACCUUGUAUUUCCAUCUCAAUUACUAUCAGUGGGUGUAAAUAUACCAUUAAAUCCACCUCUCACAAAGGAUCCAACAAAAAAAGAGUAGCAGUGAUUGACGUAAUAAAUGAUCAAUGCUAAACAACGA
This 214-nucleotide unclassified non-coding RNA is filed under the name Melitaea cinxia (Glanville fritillary). Its description in RNAcentral is "misc RNA ENSMCXG00005003468.1". The record is from RNAcentral. Lineage: Eukaryota; Metazoa; Arthropoda; Insecta; Lepidoptera; Nymphalidae.